UUAACAAGAAAAAUCUGGACAAAUUUCCCAGCUGCAACACAGAAAAGAUUCCUUAAGGGUUUCAUGCCUGACCUAAGGAAACAAAAAACUCAGAAGAUGAAGCUCAAGAACCUGUUUUCAGAGCUCAGGCCUACAGUAGCAAAACGAGGAGCAGGAUGCUCUGAGGGCAACAUCACCCAGGUGACUGUUAGCGACCCGUCUUUCCCCUUUGGCUACGACGUGACGCAGUUCGACCUCUGCCUGGACGUUCCGUUCUAAAAGACAACCUCUACACUAUCUGCCAGAAAGUGGAUGAUGAUGACUUCCAGAAAAUCCUUCUGAAGAAGCUCAACCAGGCAUUCCCAUCUGGAGUC
Long non-coding RNA from Poeciliopsis prolifica (blackstripe livebearer), 353 nucleotides. RefSeq lists it as uncharacterized. Lineage: Eukaryota; Metazoa; Chordata; Actinopteri; Cyprinodontiformes; Poeciliidae. The record is from RefSeq and is a predicted model, not a curated record. The transcript has 4 exons.